RNAcentral lists this long non-coding RNA (218 nucleotides) under Elaeis guineensis (African oil palm). RNAcentral's name for it is "long non-coding RNA (EGUI_LNC076414)". Lineage: Eukaryota; Viridiplantae; Streptophyta; Magnoliopsida; Arecales; Arecaceae. The record is from RNAcentral.
GAUCGAAUCUCAAGACAUAUUUUCUAACAAUCUUCAUCUUGACUCGAUAUUCGGUCUCCACCUGACUUUGAGAGCUUUUAAUUGGAUUUCCUCACCCCCAUGUCCUGGGAUAAUAGCUUGCUACUCAUGCUUGGGCGAACAUGAAAGUCGAGCCAGACCGUUUGAUCUCAUCUCCGUCACAUCCCGUGCACAUCCUGACCUGAAAUAUGCUCGAGGUC